This 3306-nucleotide long non-coding RNA is filed under the name Homo sapiens (human). RNAcentral describes it as "HSALNT0339047". The record is from RNAcentral. Lineage: Eukaryota; Metazoa; Chordata; Mammalia; Primates; Hominidae.
AACCUGGGAGGCGGAGCUUGCAGUGAGCCAAGAUCGCGCCACUGCACUCCAGCCUGGGCAACAGAGCAAGACUCUGUCUCAAAAAAAAAAAAAAAAAAAAAAAAAAAACAUCUGGUCCAACUCUUAUUUUCUGGUGAGGAGACGAGCUCAUACACUGAUCAGCUCACCCUUACACGGUAGAUGUUCAAAGAUGGAUUUCAUGGUUCUCAAUGCAGUGGCUGUUAGUCUAAGCUCUAAAAAAGUAACCUCAACAUACUAACAGCCUCCUGUGAGGAGAGGAACCAUUAGUUAAAUAUCAAGGAAUGGCUCUGAUGAUGAAAUGUAUCAGCCUGAUCCGGUAGUUUGCUGGACAUUGGUGGGCAUCCACCCUGGUGGGUGUGUAAGUGUCUUGAAGCAGGGCGUCAACCUAGCCAGGUAAGGCUUCUGAGGGAAGGCGAGUUUGUGUUCAGUUUCAAAGGGGUAAAGUUUUUAAAAAUUAUUUCAAUAGGUAUUUGGGGAACAGGGGGUGGUUGGUUCCAUGGAUAAGCUCUUUAGUGGCGAUUUCUGAGAUUUUCGUGCACCUGUCACCCAAGCAGUGUACACUGUACCCAAUGUGUAGCAUUUUAUCCGCCCCCAUCCCAACCUUCUCUCCAAGUCCCCAAAGUCCAUUGUAUCUUUCUAUUUUCUUUUUUUUUUUUUUUUUUUUUUUUGAGACAGAGUCUCGCUCUGUCGCCAGGCUGGAGUGCACUGGCGCGACCUCGGCUCACUGCAACCUCCACCUCCAGGGUUCAAGCGAUUCUCCUGUCUCAGCCUCCCUAGUAGCUAGGAUGACAGGCAUGCGCCACCAUGCCCAGCUAAUUUUUGUAUUUUUAGUAGAGACGGGGUUUCACCAUGUUGGCCAAGAUAGUCUUGAUCUCUUGACCUUGUGAUCUGCCAGCCUUGGCCUCCCAAAGUGCUGGGAUUACAGGCGUGAGCCACCGUGCCCAUCCCAUUGUAUCAUUCUUAUGCCUUUGCAUCCUCAUAGCUGAGCUCCUACUUACAAGUGAGAACAUACGAUGUUUGGUUUUCUAUUCCUGAGUUACUUCACUUAGAAGAAUGGUCUCCAACUCCAUCCAGGUUGCUGCGAAUGUCAUUAUUUCAUUCCUUUUUAUGGCUGAGUAGUAGUCGAUGGUAUAUAUAUACACACCACAUUUUCUUUACUCAUUGACUGUUGGGCAUUUGGGCUGGUUCCACAGUUUUGCAAUUUCAAAUUGUGCUGCUAUAAAUAUGCAUGUCUUUGUCAUAUAAUGAUGUAUUUUCCUCUGGGUAGAUAUUCAGGGGUAGGACUGCUGGAUCGAAUGAUAGAUCUACUUUUAGUUCCUUAAGGCAUCUUUAAAGGAGUACAAAGUCUUAAGGAUUGGGGUACACGAAGAAAAAGAGGAGGAGAAGGAUGUACCUCAGUUGAAUGAGUCCAGAGGAAGGCUGGAUGGUUGACCUUUGGCUGGGUGCGCAGAUGGACGUGAUUCUAGUAAUUUGGGGCAGUAUUAACCAUGAAGCUGAUUUAUUGCAGGUACCUCAUCUGAGAUUGAUGGUAACUGAUGGCACAUGCCAAGGGGCAUUUUUAGGGAAGGAUCCAACAGAAUUCGAAACAACUGACUGCAGCACAAGGCGGGAGCCUCUGGCUCUCUGAGGUUCCAGGGCCAGAACCCCAAGUCAGGGGGACAGUGAGAGGAGGCACCCAUGAUGGAGAAAUAAGGACAGCACAACUAAUUCCUUCACUUAUCUUGAGAUGGAGUCUCACUCUAUCGCCCAGGCUGGAGCACAGUGGCGCGAUCUCGGCUCACUGAAACCUCCACCUCCCGGGUUCAAGUGUUUCUCCUGCCUCAGCCUCCUGAGUAGCUGGGAUUACAGGUGCCCACCACCAUGCCCAGCUAAUUUUUUGUAUUUUUAGUAGAGACGGUUUCACUAUGUUGGCCACGCUGGUCUUGAACUCCUGACCUUGUGAUCCGCCCGCCUUGGUCUCCCAAAGUGCUGGGAUUACAGGCAUGAGCCACCACACCUGGCCUACGACAGCUCUUUUUAAGGACUUUUUUAGAGCAGUUUAGGUUCACAGCACAAUUGAGAGGAAGGUACAGAGACAUCCCAUUUACCCCUGUCCCUGAACAAGAUGCACUUCACUGAGGUUAUGUUAGAUUCCAGAGAAACAUUGGUUGAGGGACUCUUCUUUCCAAAAUAUUUUUGCUUCCAAAAGCUGUUUCAAACACCACAACACCAAAACCCUGUUUUGGGUUUUUUGGUUUUUUUUUUUUUUUUUUUUUUUUGAGACAAAAUCUUGCUCUGUCAUGCAGGCUGGAGUGCAGUGGUGUGAUCUCGGCUCACUGCAACCUCUGCCUCCUGGGCUCAAGCAAUUCUCUUGCCUGAGCCUCCCAAGUAGCUGGGAUUACUAAGAUUACGGGCAUGCACCAGCAUGCUCGGCUAAUUUUUGUAUUUUUCAUAGUGAUGGGGUUUCACCCUGUUGGCCAGGCUGGUCUCAAACUCCUGACCUCAGGUGAUCCGCCCACCUCAGCCUCCCAAAGUGUUGGGUUUACAGGUGUGAGCGACCGAGCCCAGCCAGAAAUACAAACUAGUUGACUGUGAGUUAUCAGAUGUCAUGAAAUUGUUAGCUUCCAGGUUCAGGGGCUCUGUGAUACGUGACGACAAACAGAAGAAAUGGUAUGUGGUGCUGCAGUGGGCCUCCCUGGUUUAAUAAUAUGUUCAUCUUAUUCCAGUUCUGUAUCACAAAUACAGAAGGGUAUAAUUUAGCAUAGAAAGUCUCCAUAGAUCUUCUAUAUAUUAUGGUAUGUAUGUCUACAGAUUCACAAUUAUGUUCUGUUCACCAGUGCAACACAAAAAUAAAAAUUACCUGUCUGUAGCACACUCGGAACACACCCCUGCGUCCCUCUGGGAUGUUCUCAUGCUUUUUAGAUCUGUUAGUCGUAAUGAUUUCAUUUCUUCCCAUAGCCUGGGCAACAAGAGUGAAACUCCAUCUCAAAAGAAAAAAAAACUUCAUAUCCACAGUUGUCUUUAUAAUUAAGUAUAGACUGGCUAAAGUGGCUCAGGCCUGUAAUCCCAGCACUUUGGGAGGCCGAGGUGGGCAGAUCAUGAGAUCAGGAGUUUGAGACCAGCCUGACCAACAUGGUGAAACUCCAUCUCUACUAAAAACAAAAAGUUGGCCAGGCACGCUGGCGGGCACCUGUAAUCCCACCUACUCGGGAGGCUGAGGCAGGAGAAUCACAUGAACCUGGGAGGCAGAGGUUGCAGUGACCAAGAUCACACCACUGCACUCCAGCCUGGGCAACAAGAGCGAAA